UUUAACCACCAAAAUAAAUACAUUUCACAAGAUUUAUUUAAAUAAGCAAUGCUAUCGCUACAUAUUAGGAUAGUAUACAAAAUAAAAGCUAAAUAGAUUUUUUUAAAUCAAUAUUUAACCGAUUUGUAUACUAAACAAAACCGUGUUAAUGACUUUCUGGCAGAAAUUAUUUCCUUGGUGGAAUAAAAAUGUCGUCUCCCACUCGAUUCUGUUGGGAAUAAAACACAACCGAAACAAAUCGUUUCACAACCGUAAAAUAAUUCACGACCAGACCACACACCGAUAAACACACAUCAAAUAUUUAUUUACAACAUCUUAAAAAGGGCACUUCGUUUUAAAAUCCGCUGACUCAUUUAAAAGCACUGCUGUACAGGUCCUAGAUGAGCGCCAAACUGUGGACAAUUAUAUCUACGUGUUACGUUACGCCUAACUCGACAGUUUCUGGUCAAUUUCUUCACUGUGUAGGGUUUGGUGAUCGAGUAAUCGAGUUGUGAAACGCUACAGUUCGACGCGACGCCGUUGUUUUUCUUCGACGCAAACGAUAAGAAAAUGGCGCGAAAACUGAUCGCGAUUAACAAAGAGGUCAGUGAUGUCGAUAUAAAUAUCUUCAAAAGAUCGUUAAGUGACGUGACUAAACCGAUUCGCUUCUCCUGUGUGGUGUUUUUUUUUAAGUUGUUCGGGAUAUAUUUUGUUUACAGUAGUGAAACCGAUUCUUGUAAACCGAUUCAGGUGUAAAUACAACGAAAACUCACCCCAAACACGUAUAAAACGCAGUUUACUAACCCAACUGAAAGUUAUUUGUAUACGAUAUCGUUACAUACCAUCAUAUACAAAGUUUAGGUAUUAUUGUGUUAUUUUUUUAGGAGUUUUUACUUAGUAGGUUCUAAAGAAUUUUCUCUAAACAUUUACAACUUCCGUUUUUUCCGUAAAAUCACGUUUUCUUUGCUUUUUGAACGUUCUCUAUCUAUAACAAUCUAUAGUAGCAUCUAAAAAUAGUCAAACAUCCAACUAAAACGUUUCAGGAAAAGUCAGCUAAUAUUUAAUAUUUUUGUGCUGAUGUUUUGGGAACAUUUUUAGUUUGUCUAACAUUUUAAAAAAACUUUUUGAUAGAUGAACUUAAACGAUUUAAAAACAUUUCGCGAACUAUUUUUUUUUAAUAACACUAUUAGUUUGUGUAACAUUUAUAAGUACGUUUUUUUGCGCUAGCAUUUCGAGAAUGUCUAAUAUUGCAAAAAACUUCGGGGAAAUGUUUAACUAAGAUCUUUUAGGGGAAAAAAAUAAUGUAAAAACUUUACAAUGGUAAUGUUUAGUACAGUAGUCUAACAAUAAAAAUAAAAAAUAGUAUUUAGUUUGUCCAACUAAAACAUUUCAAAAUUGAACCAUGUAUAAAUAACAUUUUUUGUGUAUAAUAUUUUGAGAAUACUGUUAGUUAAGGUCUUUUUCUGCGUUUUCGCAUUCGUAGCAAUUUGAUAGUAAAGAAUGACAAAAAUGAAAAAACUUUCGGAUUCGCUGGCAAGGACCUUUAGUCUAAGAAUUAAAAAAAACAUAUUCAUUUAGUCAUUUUGCAGAUAUUCAAUCAAUGAUGUACAAAGGUUUUGAGUGAAUGCUCUGCGAACGUUAUUAGUUUGUCUAACAUUUAAAAUAAAAAAGUUGAGUGAACAGCGUAUAAAUAAUGUUGGAGAAUACUAUCAGUCUAUGUAACAUUUAAUAAACCGUUAUACGAACGUCUGCCCAAAAACGUUUCUGAAAAAUUGUUUACCAAAGGAUUCAUAAAUAACUGACUUCUAAAUUACGAUUUUUUUUGUGCUAAAAUGUUAUUAGUUUGUCUAGCAUUUCGAAAAACUAAUGCUAAUGUUUCGAGAACAUUAUUAUCCUAUUAGCUUAAAAUAAAUUGAUUAACGUUCAACUAAAAAGUUUCAGAAAACAUGUUCUAUGAAUGACAUAUAAAUAUGCUUUCGUGUGAACGUUUUGAGAAUAUUAGUUUAUUGUCUGUUUUGCAAAUCAAUUUCGAUGUUUCAUGCUUCAUGCUAACGUUUUGAGAACAUUAUUAGUCUAAAAAGUUUCAAAAUGACCAACUAAAACCUUUCAGAAAUCACGGUUCCACAAGCAACGUUUACGUAACGUUUUUUCGCGAACGUUUUGAGCACGUUAUUUAGGACCAGAUAACGUUCUAUAAACUUUGAGAAAACCUUUCCAGAACGUUCUGAGAACGUUAAAUAAACAUUCCAUAAACGUUCAUGGAAGAGCGUUUGUUUAUAACUUUGAGAAAACCUUUCCAGAACGUUCUGAGAACGUUAUUAAGGACCAGAUAACUUCAAAUUAACGUUCCAUAAACUUUGAGAAAACCUUUCCAGAACAUUCUGAGAACGUUAAAUAAACGUUCCAUAAACGUUCAUGGAAGAGCGUUUGUUUAUAACCUCGACAAAACCUUUCCAGAACGUUCUGAGAACGUUAUUAAGGACCAGAUAACUUUAAAUGAACGUUCCAUGAACCUUAAUGGAAGAGAGUUUGUUUAUAACUUUGAGAAAACCUUUCCGGAACGUUCUGAGAACGUU
This is a long non-coding RNA of Puntigrus tetrazona (Sumatra barb), 2555 nucleotides long. RefSeq lists it as uncharacterized. NCBI's taxonomy places the organism in Eukaryota, Metazoa, Chordata, Actinopteri, Cypriniformes, Cyprinidae. The record is from RefSeq and is a predicted model, not a curated record. The transcript is spliced from 2 exons.